RNAcentral lists this ribosomal RNA (254 nucleotides) under uncultured bacterium. RNAcentral describes it as "partial 16S ribosomal RNA". It matches the Rfam family "Bacterial small subunit ribosomal RNA", at positions 524 to 776 of the family's 1533-position model. The record is from RNAcentral.
UACGUAGGGGGCAAGCGUUGUCCGGAUUUAUUGGGCGUAAAGAGCUCGUAGGCGGUGUGUCGCGUCGGCCGUGAAAACUUGGGGCUUAACUCUGAGCGUGCGGUCGAUACGGGCAUCACUUGAGUUCGGCAGGGGAGACUGGAAUUCCUGGUGUAGCGGUGAAAUGCGCAGAUAUCAGGAGGAACACCGGUGGCGAAGGCGGGUCUCUGGGCCGAUACUGACGCUGAGGAGCGAAAGCAUGGGGAGCAAACAGG